CGCUAUCACUCCUCGGGAGGCAGCAGUGGGGAAUAUUGCACAAUGGGGGAAACCCUGAUGCAGCCAUGCCGCGUGUGUGAAGAAGGCCUUCGGGUUGUAAAGCACUUUCAGUCGUGAGGAAGGUAGUGUAGUUAAUAGCUGCAUUAUUUGACGUUAGCGACAGAAGAAGCACCGGCUAACUCCGUGCCAGCAGCCGCGGUAAUACGGAGGGUGCGAGCGUUAAUCGGAAUUACUGGGCGUAAAGCGCAUGCAGGUGGUUUGUUAAGUCAGAUGUGAAAGCCCGGGGCUCAACCUCGGAAUAGCAUUUGAAACUGGCAGACUAGAGUACUGUAGAGGGGGUAGAAUUUCAGGUGUAGCGGUGAAAUGCGUAGAGAUCUGAAGGAAUACCGGUGGCGAAGGCGGCCCCCUGGACAGAUACUGACACUCAGAUGCGAAAGCGUGGGGAGCAAACAGGAUUAGAUACCCUGGUAG
RNAcentral lists this ribosomal RNA (471 nucleotides) under uncultured bacterium. Its description in RNAcentral is "bacterial SSU rRNA". It matches the Rfam family "Bacterial small subunit ribosomal RNA", at positions 328 to 793 of the family's 1533-position model. The record is from RNAcentral.